CCGUGGCCACAGGCGACGACGGGUAGCCGGCCUGAGAGGGUGACCGGCCACACUGGGACUGAGACACGGCCCAGACUCCUACGGGAGGCAGCAGUGGGGAAUAUUGCGCAAUGGGCGAAAGCCUGAUGCAGCGACGCCGCGUGAGGGAUGACGGCCUUCGGGUUGUAAACCUCUUUCAGCAGGGACGAAGCGAAAGUGACGGUACCUGCAAAAGAAGCGCCGGCUAACUACGUGCACC
RNAcentral lists this ribosomal RNA (238 nucleotides) under uncultured bacterium. RNAcentral describes it as "partial 16S ribosomal RNA". It matches the Rfam family "Bacterial small subunit ribosomal RNA", at positions 261 to 511 of the family's 1533-position model. The record is from RNAcentral.